GACGGGGGUGGCGAGCGUUGCCCGGAAUUACUGGGCUUAAAGGGGGCGUAGGCGGCUGGGUGUGUCGGGUGUGUAAUCCUGGGGCUCAACUCCAGGGCUGCGCCCGAUACUACCCUGCUAGAGGGCGCCAGGGGGAGGCGGAACUCCCGGUGUAGCGGUGAAAUGCGUAGAUAUCGGGGGGAACACCGGAGGCGAAGGCGGCCUCCUGGGGCGCACCUGACGCUGAGGCCCGAAGGCUGGGGGAGCAAAGGGGAUUAGAACC
This 262-nucleotide ribosomal RNA is filed under the name uncultured bacterium. RNAcentral describes it as "partial 16S ribosomal RNA". It matches the Rfam family "Bacterial small subunit ribosomal RNA", at positions 524 to 785 of the family's 1533-position model. The record is from RNAcentral.